This is a long non-coding RNA of Pongo pygmaeus (Bornean orangutan), 1274 nucleotides long. RefSeq lists it as uncharacterized. Lineage: Eukaryota; Metazoa; Chordata; Mammalia; Primates; Hominidae. The record is from RefSeq and is a predicted model, not a curated record. The transcript has 3 exons.
CCCUACAACUCAGUAAACUGGUUCAACGUCCCAAGAUUAGACAGACAUUUGCAGUGGCUGAUAUCCUUCCAUUCACUCUGGAGUGAUUUCCUCAUUUCAAUGCUUUAAAUAUUUCCAAAUCACAGAGCUUUUUCCAUCCAUCCGUCCAUCCAUCCAUCCAUCCAUCGAUCCAUGCCAUCUUUCCAUAUUGAAGACCAGAGAGUUUGGGAAAGGCAGAAAGGAAUGAAUUCUUCUCAGAGAGAGGAGGACUCACACACAGUCCGUCAUCGGAGCACUGUUCAGGCUGGCCUGGGAGCCGAGGAUGGAAGCCCUGUUAUGUGGUGUCUGCAGAGCUGUGUGCUGGGAGUUUGGAUCUCCACACUCUCGUUUCAGCCAGGUUUCUAACUCAUACAGAGUCUCACUCUGUUGCCCAGGCUGGAGUUCAGUGGCACCGUGUCAGCUCACUGCAACCUCUGUCUCCUGAGUUCAAGCAAUUCUCCUGCCUCAGCCUCCCGAGUAGCUGCGAUUACAGGCGCCCACCACCACGCUCGGCUAAUUUUUGUAUUUUUUAGUAGAGACGGGGUUUCACCAUGUUGGCCAUGCUGGUCUCGAUCUCCUGACCUCGUGAUCCACCCACCUCAGCCUCCCAAAGUGCUGGGAUCACAGGUGUGAGCCACCAUGCCUGGCCCCAGUUAAUUAUUUCUAAGUAGCAUUUUAGAUUGAGCACCAAUUCAUAGAUUUACUAACAGAACAGAGGGUUAUAACCUCUGAUCUCAGCUGUAAGAAAUCAGCUCCUGGUUUGGAAUUUGAAGCCCUGGGUCUCGACCUGAGCCUUGCUUUUUAUUAUGACUGGCAAGAUGGCAGCCUCUUUGAGCUCAGCUACUUAAUUUGUUACAUGGUGAUAGUAAUAGCUGCAUACCUUAUAGUAAAUGCUAUAACAGAUAUGAAAACAUGGAACAGUAUCAGUGGUCCUAAAAUAAUGAUUGGAAAUUAACAAGCCUGUUUAUCUUUUCCAUAUGUUUUGUUUUGUUUUGUUUUUUCUUGAGGCAAAAUGGCUUACUUCUGACCAGUGGUGACAUUAAGAAGAACAAAAAGAAUUGAUUUGGAAUUGAUCACUCAUUUUGGAUCUUCAUUUGUAAAAUGCCCAUUUAUUGCUUUGGGUUGGGGGUACAAGGUGUGAGGAUGCAAGCUUGAAGAAGGUAUAUUUCUUUGCACUAGGAAAAAAAAUAGAAUAGGUAGAGAAAGAAUUGGGGAGGGCCAAGGGCGAAGCAAAGUAGCUAAGACAACAUGCAUGA